This 301-nucleotide ribosomal RNA is filed under the name uncultured bacterium. RNAcentral describes it as "partial 16S ribosomal RNA". It matches the Rfam family "Bacterial small subunit ribosomal RNA", at positions 509 to 807 of the family's 1533-position model. The record is from RNAcentral.
CAGUAGCCACGGGAAUACGUAGGGUGCAAGCGUUAAUCGGAAUUACUGGGCGUAAAGCGUGCGCAGGCGGUUAUAUAAGACAGAUGUGAAAUCCCCGGGCUCAACCUGGGAACUGCAUUUGUGACUGUAUAGCUAGAGUACGGCAGAGGGGGAUGGAAUUCCGCGUGUAGCAGUGAAAUGCGUAGAUAUGCGGAGGAACACCGAUGGCAAAGGCAAUCCCCUGGGCCUGUACUGACGCUCAUGCACGAAAGCGUGGGGAGCAAACAGGAUUAGAUACCCCCGUAGUCCCUGUCUCUUAUAC